Long non-coding RNA from Micropterus salmoides (largemouth bass), 1554 nucleotides. RefSeq lists it as uncharacterized. The transcript has 3 exons. The record is from RefSeq and is a predicted model, not a curated record. Lineage: Eukaryota; Metazoa; Chordata; Actinopteri; Centrarchiformes; Centrarchidae.
GGUGAUGCUGCAAUGGAUAAGACGCCUGCCUUUGGUGUGAGCAUUUUGAAAUCUGCUGUUUUAAAGUAUAUAAAUCUUUUUAACUGUUUUAACCUCUUUCCCUUGACUGAUAUGUUUAUCUUUUAGUCCAUGUGUUUAUUUCUCUCUGUGAUUAUUUCAUUGCCUAUCACACAUAUGUUGGCAAUAAGGUUUUAAAAUGUUUAAACUUUCCUAUGAAAGGGUGAAUCUCAUAGUGUAUCAGUUUGUUUUACAGGUUGAUCAACUGAGGAUCUGAAAAAAUGCCGGGAGGCAGGGCCUUUCUGCUCUUGGCCAAUCACAAUCUGAAUCUGAAACACCUGGGAAGUUCUUUCAGUUUUCGCUUCUGAAACCCACUUCUGUGUUCGCUGUCAUUUCUCUAGCUAUCUGCUCUUUUGUGUGGAGAUUUUAUGUUUCUGACAGAAACCUGGCUUCAUGCUGGUCCAUCCUGUUCAGUGUCAGGCUAAGAGUGAGGAGAAAUAGAUUAGAAAACAUAGAUGUGCAUCAUGUGCAGUAUUCAGAGGCUGCCGAGGAACACGCAGCACCUGAAAAUAGUCCCCGUUGAAUUCUACGGGGACUAUUUUCACGUGCUGCGUAAUAUCACUGCGCCCAUGGUACGUUUGCAACGUUCCUUGAUUAUUACGCCAGGAUGAGAGUAUAGUUCCAUGUCAAAUCAGCCUAGAAAAUUGCCAUGUUUCAUUUUCCGCUAGUUUUAUCGCACGUUCUAACUUGAGAAGAGACAACUUUUAAAUAGGAAAAAUUCCGGAAAUCUUAGUCAUUUUGAGGGUGAGAUGCUAAUGGUCUAAUCCGAUCCAAUGAUCUAUGCUAGACUGGAGCUAUACGUGGUAUUGCUUAAUUCCCCAAAUGGUGGAAUAUCCCUUUAAUUAGUUUGAUAAAAUACACCUGUGUUUACAAAACUAUUACACUGUAACAUAACUUCUGUGGGAUGGGUCUAUUUAAACAGUCACAACAGGGAAUCGAACUGCUGACCCUUCAAUCAUGAGACGACUUGCUCCAACUUCUGAGCUACAACCGUCCCCAAUAGUAUUGUUACCCUGUGAUGCCCACUCCUAGGUGUGUCAGGUGGAAGACCAAAUUGUGUCUAUAUACACAGAGGAAGGAAUGAGUGGGGCAGGGAACCAAUGAUGGAAAAGACAUACGUCAUCCUGCGGAAAUACCUUACCAAAGUGCCUGCUGCAGCGAUGUCUGAGAUCAAACAGGAAUGGCCAUUUCUCUUCUUUCAGAAAUGCCUAUUGUCACACUUUGGCCUCCUGACGGACGUCGAUGUCCUUCAGAAGCUACAGGAGGCAAUUAGUCGACGAGGACAGACCGUCCUGGAUUACUGUGCAACACUGGACAACCCCAAGAUCCGUGAUGUUCUGGCCUGCUAUGAUCCAGACUCUGACAAGGCUGCCUGCAUCCUGCUGCUCCUAAUGUUGUACUUCAAAGAGCCGAAAGAGAGUUUGAUGCUUGAAGUUGAUGUAAGAUUUUUUUAUUCAAAUAUUUAAAAUGCAAAAUGUGUGAUUACAUUAUCAACAU